UAGAGUCACCUAGCACCGUCGUUCCGGUGAGACGGUGAAUGUUACGGGGCAGCGCAUAAAUUCAGCAGACGUUUCCUAAGUCGGGUGGCGGGCAACCCUUCCCUCGAAGCUCCGCCGGCCGGCGCCGUGAAGCCGGCCUGGCCGAAUCGGUUACCGUGCCCGGGAACCCCCGCGUUCGCGGGGAUUGCACCCAGCCCCGCCCGCCGCCCGCGUCCGCAGCGUACGAUCGAACCUAAGACUGAAUCUCCGCAAGUCAGUAUUAGGCCGUGUGCCAUCGAAGCGCGGUGACCGAAAAGUUGGUUCGCGCUACUGGUUAACACACUUAGUUGCCAAGGAGAGCAUGAUCCAACUUAAUGAUAGCGCUGUGACAGUAGUCAUCCCAUUUUGAUUGGACAGAGUGCUGCCAGAUUUGGGUCGAGUGCAAGGGAUAACCACCCAUUUGUUAGGUUGUGAACCACUUAAGACGAAGUGUUA
RNAcentral lists this ribosomal RNA (474 nucleotides) under Triticum aestivum (bread wheat). RNAcentral describes it as "partial small subunit ribosomal RNA". Lineage: Eukaryota; Viridiplantae; Streptophyta; Magnoliopsida; Poales; Poaceae. The record is from RNAcentral.